RNAcentral lists this ribosomal RNA (1346 nucleotides) under uncultured bacterium. RNAcentral's name for it is "partial 16S ribosomal RNA". It matches the Rfam family "Bacterial small subunit ribosomal RNA", at positions 28 to 1381 of the family's 1533-position model. The record is from RNAcentral.
GACGAACGCUGGCGGCGUGCUUAACACAUGCAAGUCGAACGGAAAGGCCCUGCUUUUGUGGGGUGCUCGAGUGGCGAACGGGUGAGUAACACGUGAGUAACCUGCCCUUGACUUUGGGAUAACUUCAGGAAACUGGGGCUAAUACCGGAUAGGAGCUCCUGCUGCAUGGUGGGGGUUGGAAAGUUUCGGCGGUUGGGGAUGGACUCGCGGCUUAUCAGCUUGUUGGUGGGGUAGUGGCUUACCAAGGCUUUGACGGGUAGCCGGCCUGAGAGGGUGACCGGCCACAUUGGGACUGAGAUACGGCCCAGACUCCUACGGGAGGCAGCAGUGGGGGAUAUUGCACAAUGGGCGGAAGCCUGAUGCAGCAACGCCGCGUGCGGGAUGACGGCCUUCGGGUUGUAAACCGCUUUCGCCUGUGACGAAGCGUGAGUGACGGUAAUGGGUAAAGAAGCACCGGCUAACUACGUGCCAGCAGCCGCGGUGAUACGUAGGGUGCGAGCGUUGUCCGGAUUUAUUGGGCGUAAAGGGCUCGUAGGUGGUUGAUCGCGUCGGAAGUGUAAUCUUGGGGCUUAACCCUGAGCGUGCUUUCGAUACGGGUUGACUUGAGGAAGGUAGGGGAGAAUGGAAUUCCUGGUGGAGCGGUGGAAUGCGCAGAUAUCAGGAGGAACACCAGUGGCGAAGGCGGUUCUCUGGGCCUUUCCUGACGCUGAGGAGCGAAAGCGUGGGGAGCGAACAGGCUUAGAUACCCUGGUAGUCCACGCUGUAAACGGUGGGUACUAGGUGUGGGGUCCAUUCCACGGGUUCCGUGCCGUAGCUAACGCUUUAAGUACCCCGCCUGGGGAGUACGGCCGCAUGGCUAAAACUCAAAGGAAUUGACGGGGCCCCGCACAAGCGGCGGAGCAUGCGGAUUAAUUCGAUGCAACGCGUAGAACCUUACCUGGGUUUGACAUGGAUCGGGAGUGCUCAGAGAUGGGUGUGCCUCUUUUGGGGUCGGUUCACAGGUGGUGCAUGGCUGUCGUCAGCUCGUGUCGUGAGAUGUUGGGUUAAGUCCCGCAACGAGCGCAACCCUUGUUCACUGUUGCCAGCACGUUAUGGUGGGGACUCAGUGGAGACCGCCGGGGUCAACUCGGAGGAAGGUGGGGAUGACGUCAAGUCAUCAUGCCCCUUAUGUCCAGGGCUUCACGCAUGCUACAAUGGCUGGUACAGAGAGUGGCGAGCCUGUGAGGGUGAGCGAAUCUCGGAAAGCCGGUCUCAGUUCGGAUUGGGGUCUGCAACUCGACCUCAUGAAGUCGGAGUCGCUAGUAAUCGCAGAUCAGCAACGCUGCGGUGAAUACGUUCCCGGGGCU